This 344-nucleotide transfer-messenger RNA is filed under the name Caenispirillum salinarum AK4. RNAcentral describes it as "Alphaproteobacteria transfer-messenger RNA". It matches the Rfam family "Alphaproteobacteria transfer-messenger RNA". Rfam says of the family: Bacterial tmRNA, also known as 10Sa RNA or SsrA, is named for its dual tRNA and mRNA-like properties. Its role is to liberate the mRNA from a stalled ribosome. Lineage: Bacteria; Pseudomonadati; Pseudomonadota; Alphaproteobacteria; Rhodospirillales; Novispirillaceae. The record is from Rfam by way of RNAcentral.
CCCCUUUGCAAGACCCGGCAAGGGUUCUAUAUAGGGCCUGUCGGGUCGCACCCGACUAUGACGCUAAACCCUUCAUGGAAUAAGCGUAGCGGACCCGGGGGCAGUACCCGGCGGCUCCACCAACUUCUCGACGGGGCCGAAACAGGAUCGACGCGCGUGGUAAAGAUGAAGGUUGCGUCCGGCAUGGCUCCACCGUUAUCGGGCCAUACGCAAUAGUUGCCAACGACAACUUUGCUCCGGCUCGCGCCGCCGCGUAACGCGGUGUCGUGACCGAAAUUGAAGCCCUGGCGGUUAGCCCCGUCAGGCGGGGUCCGGGAGGCACCUGGCAACAGAAGCCUCCCACU